GCGCUGCAUCCCAUUGGAGGCUGUGGCCGUCACUCAUGGCGCCCUCGUGUCACUUCAAUGGCUGCGCCCCUGGCCUUCGUAUUCCUCCCCACCUAUGAGCAGGCGCCUUCCACCUGCCGGCCGCAGAGAUUGGCUGACACCCCCCCAAUACGUCAGCGGGUGGCACCGCCCUCAGCGCCCACCACAGAUGGAGGCAGCUUUGGCGGCGGGGGGGCGCAAGGGAUUUUGGGAACUGGCGCAGGGAGGUCUGGGAGCAGUAUUGCCACCCAGGCCUGUGGAAGACCUUGCCCUUGGGCCUGGAGACGCCUGUACCCUCCAGCCGCAAGCUGGCGAUUCUGACUGUGGGAGCUGUCUCGGCCCUGGCCAUCAGCCUUGUGGGUGUCCUUGUGGGCACCUACCUGGGCAGAGCUGCCUGCAGCCAGGGAGUCGCUGCUGGCUCCCUGCCGGCCCAGGUACACGUGCAGAAUGA
This 469-nucleotide long non-coding RNA is filed under the name Crocodylus porosus (Australian saltwater crocodile). RNAcentral's name for it is "lncRNA (ENSCPRG00005008061.1)". Lineage: Eukaryota; Metazoa; Chordata; Crocodylia; Crocodylidae. The record is from RNAcentral.